This 1000-nucleotide long non-coding RNA is filed under the name Mus spicilegus (steppe mouse). RNAcentral's name for it is "lncRNA (ENSMSIG00000002107.1)". Lineage: Eukaryota; Metazoa; Chordata; Mammalia; Rodentia; Muridae. The record is from RNAcentral.
GGGCUAUAGUAGCAACAGCAGCCUCAGCAGCCAGGCAGCAGGGCUAUAGCUUGCAGCCAAGCAGACCGCCGCCGCCUCAUCACNNNNNNNNNNCACACACACACACACACACACACACACACACACACACACACACACACACAAUUGCACAUACUUCCCGAAUCAACGCGUUGUCACACAAAUCCUGGACCAUGACAGAUGAGAGAAGAGCAAUAGGCACGGACAACAGGUAUUUCCUCUCUGACAAAUUCAGUUUCAUUCCCGAUGCUUAUUGGUUUUCAUAAGGAAAGAAGCCUAAGCGAUACCUAGCCUGUGCGGACUACCAGAGGACUGGAGGUGGCCUCGGCAGGGGAGGGUGAAGUGGGAGGAGUGAGAUGUGGGGAAGAGAAGAAGCCAAAAUUGACUUUCAGGCUCCGGAAGCCUACAGCUCUCAGCCUCCGCUGUUUUUGAGUUGCAAAUGAUCUGGGAGUGGUGGGUUGCAGGCAGCCCGUGCCAUCGCCUGGAAGAAGACUUCCAUCUUUCAGUCACUAGUUCCAACGGGCCGUGUGUUCUGGAAGGGGGUGGCAGCAGGGAGGAGGAUGCUCUGAGCAGAGUUCUUGAAGCUUUGCUCUUGGGGGAAGCCGGGCUGUGUGGGAGCCUUCUGACUGAGCUGAGAGCGUGUGAAUUGGAAAGGAUCCUGAGAGCUGGCUGGUCCCAGUUCAUCUCCGGAAAAGCUGUCGCUCUCGCUUCAGAGAUGCGCCUAGCCUUCGCCUGCAUCACGCUGCAACUGCCGCACAUGCCUAUAUGCCCACCAUUGAUUAAAGCUGAUUAUCAACAAUCACCGAAGUUCUGAUCAGUUAACCAGCUUGUAUAAGGCUCAUUGUAAGGUACAGCUCUUUCUGGAAAUGUUAUUGACAUUAUAAAAUCUCGAAAGGACACUGAGGAAUGUAAAUACUGAAACAGAAAUGAACAAGACUGGUGACUUAUGCAAGUGAUAAUUAUUAAGUAAUACGAAGGCCAA